Molecule: unclassified non-coding RNA, 159 nt
Filed under: uncultured fungus
Lineage: Eukaryota; Fungi
Description: sequence contains ITS1
Source: RNAcentral
AGAGAAAACUGGGUUUCGACCCGACCUACCCCACACACACCUGUGAACAUGUUUUACCGUCGAACGCUCUGCGGGGGGCGAGAGCCCCUCGCGGUGGCGUCCGGCGCUUUACACAAACGUCUUAUACAGUCAUGAACGUAAUGUUAUUUUAACAAAACA